CUUGAUGCCUUCAAAAGCCAGGAAACUUAAUCCUGGCCUUAUGUUUCUUUCUUCGUGCCCAAAAGGCAGCCAAGCUCGUCACUAAACCAAGGGAGGUGAAGCAGGUCACUAAGUUUAUAAUGUAGUUGUUCAAAAUCAGUUUGCCCUGGCAUGGAUUUGAGAGUUGGACCAUUGGAAGGUUGAAUGCUGAAGAACUGAUACUUUCAAACUGUGGUGCUAGAGAAGACUCUUGAGAGUCCGUUGGACAGCAAGGAGAUCAAACCAGUCAAUCUGAAAGGAAAUCAACCCUGAAUAUCCAUUGGAAGGACUGAUGUUGAAGCUGAAGCUCCAAUACUUUGGCCACCUGAUACAAAGAGCGGACUUAUUGGGAAAGACCCGGAUGCUGGGAAAGAUUGAAGGCAAAAGGAGAAGUGGGUGGCAGAGGAUGAGAUGGUUGGAUGGCAUCACCGACUCCACGGACAUAAGUUUGAGCAGACUCUGAGACAUGGUGAAGAGGGGGAAGCCUGGUGUGCUGCAGUCCAUGGGGUCUCAAAGAGUCAGACACAACUGAGCAACUGAACAAUAGAACAUUUUGGACUGGCGAUCAGCAGAUAUAAGUUCUGAUCUGGGCUUGGAAUCUUCUGGCUUUGCAGCUUCUAGGGAGCAACUGCCCUCAGCUUUGAUUUCCCCACACCAAAGCUUCUGUGAGUCCAAGGUCAAGGGACUGUGAUCUGGAGGCACCAUGAAGAGGUGAUGCUCAUCUUUGUGCAAGAAAGAAGACUUCUGUGCACUUGAAACUAGCUGCUCUGUUUGCCCCUCCCCUCCUUGAGAAAACUCAUGCUAUUUUUCAAAGAUUCUGAAAGCAUUUCAGGUCGUUUAUGGCAACAUUUGCCUAACAACAGCGGUCAUUCUCAGCUUAGAUUUUUCUUAAACCAGUUGCAGUAGGAGAGUAUAUUUUGAUUGGCAGGGAUAGAAGGGAGAAAUUAUAUGCAUUUACUUGUACUCAGUCGUGUCUGAGACUCUUUGCAACCCCCUGGACUAUAGCCCGCCAGACCCCUCUGUCCAUGGAAUUCUCCAGGCAAGAAUAUUGGAGUGGGUCACAAUUUCCUUCUCCACAUUUACUCAAGAAGCAUAUCCUAAAUAACAGCUUCAGAAAAAGCCGCUGUGUGAAAUAAAUAUGGAGGCUAACGGUGGAAAAUGGCAGAGGGGAUGGACUUGGAGGAAGAGCAAAGUAUCCCUCGGAGGGUAUAUAACAGAGAAGGAAGGACAGCUGGCAGCCGUGAAUAGAAGGUGCCUCUCCUGCUCCCGCAGUGACUCCUGGCGUGCUCCCUGAUAAGCGCUUUGUUACACAGGCGGUGAGAUGGCAUUAGCUUGCCAGCUCCAGAAUACACGUUCUUGGCCCUUGGCUUGCCCGUGAGUCUGUGAGACAUUGGAGGAGCUGGUGGUGGGCAGGGGCAGGUUUGCUGGGGCAAAAGGAAAGGUGUUUAAUGAGCGUUGGCCUUAUUUGAGUAGAAUACAAAGCAGCAUCUCUAUGAAGAGUAAAGUGUUAGUCGCUCAGUCGUGUCUGACUCUUGGUGACCGCAUGCACUGUAGCCUGCCAGGCUCCUCUGUCUAUGGG
Molecule: long non-coding RNA, 1597 nt
Organism: Bos taurus (domestic cattle)
Lineage: Eukaryota; Metazoa; Chordata; Mammalia; Artiodactyla; Bovidae
Source: Ensembl